GCCCCCAUCGUCUAGUGGCCUAGGACACCACCCUCUCAAGGUGGAGACACGGGUUCGAAUCCCGUUGGGGGUGCCA
RNAcentral lists this transfer RNA (76 nucleotides) under Acidimicrobiia bacterium. RNAcentral describes it as "tRNA-Glu". It matches the Rfam family "tRNA". Rfam says of the family: Transfer RNA (tRNA) molecules are approximately 80 nucleotides in length. Their secondary structure includes four short double-helical elements and three loops (D, anti-codon, and T loops). Further hydrogen bonds mediate the characteristic L-shaped molecular structure. tRNAs have two regions of fundamental functional importance: the anti-codon, which is responsible for specific mRNA codon recognition, and the 3' end, to which the tRNAs corresponding amino acid is attached (by aminoacyl-tRNA synthetases). tRNAs cope with the degeneracy of the genetic code in two manners: having more than one tRNA (with a specific anti-codon) for a particular amino acid; and 'wobble' base-pairing, i.e. permitting non-standard base-pairing at the 3rd anti-codon position. Lineage: Bacteria; Bacillati; Actinomycetota; Acidimicrobiia. RNAcentral also lists the same sequence under 1 other name. The record is from RNAcentral.